Xenopus tropicalis (tropical clawed frog) is the source of this 1018-nucleotide long non-coding RNA. RefSeq lists it as uncharacterized. The record is from RefSeq and is a predicted model, not a curated record. The transcript is spliced from 3 exons. Lineage: Eukaryota; Metazoa; Chordata; Amphibia; Anura; Pipidae.
CUUUAUUCAGACCCAGACCCGGCACUGGCUCCAGGGUGCUAGCAGGAAGUGCAAACCUUUCACCCGAGAUGAAUUUUCUGACAAGAAAGUGCUGGAUCCGUUGGAUUUCAAAGAUGCAGAACCACAUGACAUCAACAGGGGACACAUCUGUGGCAAUGGAAUUCAACUGUGUCCAUUUUUCUGAAAGCCGUAUUGCUGUAUUGUAUCUGGAAGGCAGCGAGUGAGCAGGAGAUCUUCAUUAUUUCUUAUUGAGAUGCCAGAAGGGCUGUGUGACAUUUCUGUGGUUCGGCCCCUUUCUCCUGGGACUGAUGACUCAGUAGAGCUGCGCUAACUUUCUGCUUAUCCAAUCUUCCCCACUCCUUCUCUUGCCUCUCACAACAGCUAUUUAUUUUUUUUAUUGCAUUGCUUUAACCCUAAUCUUGGGCUCCCCUGGGGCAGUAUAAGUGCUUUUCAAUAUGUUGCAUACGGCUCUCACAGUAAAAGAGUUAAAUUAGCUCCAAAUUCUCACUUUUGGCAAAACAAAAUGACACACACUCAAUCAUUUUCUGCUACACAAACACAAUUUAAAAGCCCCCCUGUAUUUGCAUGCUAAUUUCUUCUCCAACUAUGGCUACUCCCUUAGUUUAAUUAUGGUAUAUAGUCCCCAGAUGGGCAAAGUAAAAAUAAUGUUACCAUAAUUACAUAAAUGCUAUUGUUGCAUUAUAAAAUUCUGAUUCUGUGUUUGCUGUGUGUUUGCAUACAGUACACGUGCAUGACACACACAAAUAUCCAAUUUUCCUGUCUGUAUGGCAGAAUAAGUGCAUAUUGAUCUGAAAAAUACAAGAAUAAAUAUGCCAGAUCUAUUGUGGAGAUAGCGCAGACAUAAAUAUGCUGCCCUUUAUUCAUUCUAUUACUUUUCACCGGGGAUAUAAACAUGAACCAGAAUUGUCCAUUGCCAUGGUUACAAGUAUUGAGCAAUGUAAAAUAAAGCACAGGAAAAAAUGUCAAGUGGUAUUGAAUCUUAUGUAGAAAAGCUGAU